Molecule: ribosomal RNA, 753 nt
Filed under: uncultured Glomerales
Lineage: Eukaryota; Fungi; Glomeromycota; Glomeromycetes; Glomerales; Glomeraceae
Description: LSU rRNA
Rfam family: Eukaryotic large subunit ribosomal RNA
Source: RNAcentral
GCAUAUCAAUAAGCGGAGGAAAAGAAAAUAACAAUGAUUCCCCUAGUAACUGCGAGUGAAGAGGGACAAGCUCAGAUUUUAAAUCUGUUUGGUCUUACCAAACUGAGUUGUAAUUUGAAGAAAAUGUUUUCUGUGUCUUGAAUUAAUUUAAAUCCUUUGGAAUGAGGUAUCAUGGAGGGUGACAAUCCCGUUCGUGGUUAAUUUUAAGACACUUUAUGAUACGUUUUCGAAGAGUCGAGUUGUUUGGGAUUGCAGCUCAAAAUGGGAGGUAAAUUUCUCCUAAGGCUAAAUAUUGGCGAGAGACCGAUAGCGAACAAGUACCGUGAGGGAAAGAUGAAAAGAACUUUGAAAAGAGAGUUAAACAGUACGUGAAAUUGUUGAAAGGGAAACGAUUGAAGCCAGUCGUACCGACGGGAAAUCAACUUCUCGAGUGCCUAUCGCGGGUGACGUUGAGCCUCACGGCCUUCGUUGCUUGUGUUGUUGGUGCUUUUAGGGUGUACUUUUCCGUAUGGUAGGUCAGCAUCGAUUUCGUUCGUCAUAAAAUGAUCGGGGGAAUGUAGCUUCGGUCUCGUAUCGGAGUGUUAUAGACCUUGGUAGAUGUGACGAUUGGGAUCGAGGAUUGCAACGAAUACCCUUUUGGGCUAUCCGUCUGGCCUCUGAAAGUCGCUCGGGUGUCGAAAGCGUGCUUACGGCUAUCUGAGUUGGCGGUCAACAGGUUAGAACGUGGUUACAUUCGUUAAGGAUGUUGACGUA